RNAcentral lists this ribosomal RNA (253 nucleotides) under uncultured Leptolinea sp. RNAcentral's name for it is "partial 16S ribosomal RNA". It matches the Rfam family "Bacterial small subunit ribosomal RNA", at positions 524 to 776 of the family's 1533-position model. Lineage: Bacteria; Bacillati; Chloroflexota; Anaerolineae; Anaerolineales; Anaerolineaceae. The record is from RNAcentral.
AACGUAGGAGGCAAGCGUUAUCCGGAUUUACUGGGCGUAAAGCGUGUGCAGGUGGUUUGGUAAGUUGGAUGUGAAAGCUCCUGGCUCAACUGGGAGAGGUCGUUCAAAACUACCAGACUUGAGAGCAGUAGAGGGAGGUGGAAUUCCCGGUGUAGUGGUGAAAUGCGUAGAUAUCGGGAGGAACACCAGUGGCGAAAGCGGCCUCCUGGACUGUUUCUGACACUCAGACACGAAAGCUAGGGUAGCAAACGGG